RNAcentral lists this ribosomal RNA (372 nucleotides) under uncultured organism. RNAcentral's name for it is "bacterial SSU rRNA". It matches the Rfam family "Bacterial small subunit ribosomal RNA", at positions 527 to 896 of the family's 1533-position model. The record is from RNAcentral.
CGGGGGAGCAAGCGUUGUUCGGAUUACUGGGCGUAAAGGGCGCGUAGGCGGCCUCUGCGAGUCGACUGUGAAAUCUCCGGGCUUAACCCGGAACGGUCAGCCGAUACUGCAGGGCUAGAGUGCAGAAGGGGCAACUGGAAUUCUCGGUGUAGCGGUGAAAUGCGUAGAUAUCGAGAGGAACACCUGCGGCGAAGGCGGGUUGCUGGGCUGACACUGACGCUGAGGCGCGAAAGCUAGGGGAGCGAACGGGAUUAGAUACCCCGGUAGUCCUAGCCUUAAACGAUGAAUGCUUGGUGUCUGGGGUUUUAUAGUCCCCGGGUGCCGUCGCUAACGCUUUAAGCAUUCCGCCUGGGGAGUACGGUCGCAAGACUG